This 317-nucleotide ribosomal RNA is filed under the name uncultured bacterium. Its description in RNAcentral is "bacterial SSU rRNA". It matches the Rfam family "Bacterial small subunit ribosomal RNA", at positions 28 to 334 of the family's 1533-position model. The record is from RNAcentral.
GAUGAACGCUGGCGGCGUGCUUAACACAUGCAAGUCGAGCGAAGCGCUUUGAAUUUUUUCGGAAUGAGAAGUGACUGAGCGGCGGACGGGUGAGUAACGCGUGGGUAACCUGCCUCAUACAGGGGGAUAACAGUUAGAAAUGACUGCUAAUACCGCAUAAGCGCACGUCAUCGCAUGAUGGUGUGUGAAAAACUCCGGUGGUGUGAGAUGGACCCGCGUUGGAUUAGCUAGUUGGCAGGGCAGCGGCCUACCAAGGCGACGAUCCAUAGCCGGCCUGAGAGGGUGAACGGCCACAUUGGGACUGAGACACGGCCCAG